This 347-nucleotide ribosomal RNA is filed under the name uncultured bacterium. Its description in RNAcentral is "bacterial SSU rRNA". It matches the Rfam family "Bacterial small subunit ribosomal RNA", at positions 459 to 793 of the family's 1533-position model. The record is from RNAcentral.
CCUGCAUUAUUUGACGUUACCUACAGAAGAAGCACCGGCUAACUCCGUGCCAGCAGCCGCGGUAAUACGGAGGGUGCGAGCGUUAAUCGGAAUUACUGGGCGUAAAGACGCAUGCAGGCGGCCUGUUAAGUCAGAUGUGAAAGACCCGGGGCGUUAACCUCGGAAAUUGCAUUUGUAAACUAGGCAGGCUAGAGUCUUGUAGAGGGGGGUAGGGAAUUUCUAGGUGUAGCGGUGAAAUAGCGUAGAGAUCUGAAGGAAUACCAGUGGCGAAGGCGGCCCCCUGGACAAAGACUGACGCUCAGAUGCGAAAGCGUGGGGAGCAAACACGGAUUAGAUACCCUCGGUAG